RNAcentral lists this ribosomal RNA (253 nucleotides) under uncultured bacterium. RNAcentral's name for it is "partial 16S ribosomal RNA". It matches the Rfam family "Bacterial small subunit ribosomal RNA", at positions 524 to 776 of the family's 1533-position model. The record is from RNAcentral.
UACGUAGGGUGCGAGCGUUAAUCGGAAUUACUGGGCGUAAAGCGUGCGCAGGCGGUUCGCCAAGUCAGGUGUGAAAUCCCCGGGCUUAACCUGGGAAUUACGCUUGAAACUAGCGGGCUUGAGUGUGGCAGAGGGGGGUGGAAUUCCACGUGUAGCAGUGAAAUGCGUAGAGAUGUGGAGGAACACCGCUGGCGAAGGCAGCCCCCUGGGUCAACACUGACGCUCAUGCACGAAAGCGUGGGGAGCAAACAGG